RNAcentral lists this ribosomal RNA (370 nucleotides) under uncultured Prevotella sp. RNAcentral's name for it is "bacterial SSU rRNA". It matches the Rfam family "Bacterial small subunit ribosomal RNA", at positions 158 to 524 of the family's 1533-position model. Lineage: Bacteria; Pseudomonadati; Bacteroidota; Bacteroidia; Bacteroidales; Prevotellaceae. The record is from RNAcentral.
ACGGACUAAUACCCAAUGAUAUUCAUUGAUGACAUCUGAUUUGAAUUAAAGAUUUAUCGGUAUAGGAUGGGGAUGCGCUGAUUUAGCUUGUUGGUGAGGUAACGGCUCACCCAAGGCCCACGAUCAGUAGGGGUUCUGAGAGGAAGGUCCCCCACAUUGGAACUGAGACACGGUCCAAACUCCUACGGGAGGCAGCAGUGAGGAAUAUUGGUCAAUGGACGAGAGUCUGAACCAGCCAAGUAGCGUGCAGGAUGACGGCCCUAUGGGUUGUAAACUGCUUUUGUUUGGGAAUAAUCGACAUUACGUGUAAUGUUUUGCAUGUACCAUUCGAAUAAGGACCGGCUAAUUCCGUGCCAGCAGCCGCGGUAAU